UACGAGAGGUGCAAGCGUUAUUCGGAAUUAUUGGGCGUAAAGGGUGCGUAGACGGUUUGUUUAGUCUGUUGUUAAACCUUUCGGCUUAACCGAAAAUCAGCAAUGGAAACUGGCAAGCUAGAGUCUGUCAGAGGGGGGUAGAAUUCCACGUGUAGCAGUGAAAUGCGUAGAGAUGUGGAGGAAUACCAAUGGCGAAGGCAGCCCCUGGGAUAAGACUGACGCUCAUGCACGAAAGCGUGGGAGCAAACAGGGAUUAGAUACCCUGGUAGUCCACGCCCUAAACGAUGUCAACUGGUUGUUGGGCAACUUGAUUGUUCAGUAACGAAGCUAACGCGAGAAGAUGACCGCCUGGGGAGUACGGUCGCAAGAUUAAAACUCAAA
This 381-nucleotide ribosomal RNA is filed under the name uncultured bacterium. RNAcentral's name for it is "bacterial SSU rRNA". It matches the Rfam family "Bacterial small subunit ribosomal RNA", at positions 524 to 905 of the family's 1533-position model. The record is from RNAcentral.